UCAGAUGAAGAAAGCAGCAGCAACAGCACCGAAUUCAAACUCCCAAAGUUAAGAGAACUGGAAUUGAGUUUGUUACCAGAACUGAAAAGAAUUUGUAGUGCAAAACUGAUUUGCGAUUCUCUCCAAAAAAUUGAAGUAGACACAUGUGAGAAGCUGAAGAGGAUGGCAAUUUGUCUUCCAUCUCCCUCUUCUAUUAGAAAAAUGUAUAUAAGACCAAAAGAAUGGUGGGAGUCAGUAGCAGAGUGGGAGCAUCCUAACGCUAAGGAUGUCCUUCAUCCCUUUAUAGAGUUUUGGUAGGAAACGACUCCGCCUUCAAUAUAAUAUAAUAUAUAUUGAAUUAAUUACAGAUAAUUUGACAGCCGGUGAAGGAUUCCAAAGCUGCAGAAUGUUUGUUGUUAAGGCAUUUCAAGGAGAGAUGAUGCAUUUGGGGAAGCUAAGGGGAUCCACACUCUGCAUAGCUUUGGGUAUGGCACAAGAAGCGGUGGAUUCUCCAGUAAUCCUAAUUCCUCUAGUCUCAUGUCAGACAAUUUCAUUUAAUGCUUUUGAAUUGAGCAUCAAAUUUACUAUUGCUGUGGGUUAUUUGGUUUGAUCCACAAGGAAGCAAAAGAAUGGCGUGAGUCAGUAGUGCAGUGGGAGCAUCCUGAUGCUAAGGAUGUCCUUCAUGGCCUUGCAUGGUUGGGGGACAUCAUUAAGAUAG
Molecule: long non-coding RNA, 697 nt
Organism: Populus nigra (black poplar)
Lineage: Eukaryota; Viridiplantae; Streptophyta; Magnoliopsida; Malpighiales; Salicaceae
Exons: 3
Source: RefSeq, a predicted model, not a curated record